Molecule: unclassified non-coding RNA, 584 nt
Filed under: uncultured fungus
Lineage: Eukaryota; Fungi
Description: sequence contains 18S rRNA gene, ITS1, 5.8S rRNA gene, ITS2, 28S rRNA gene
Source: RNAcentral
CCUGCUAGACCGUCAGCGCUUCGCGCGCUCGCGCCGGUAGGCGCCCGGCCCCGCGCCAGCGGCUUUCUUGAACGCCUUGCUGAACGCGGCUUCCGACUGGUAGCCGACGCGCUCGGCGAUCGCGGCGGUGCUCAACGCGGUUUCGGCCAGCAGCUUGCGCGCCAGCUGCAUGCGCCACAUAGUCAGGUACUGCAUUGGCGUAUUCCCGACGAGCUGGUGGAAACGCGCCGCGAGCGCCGAGCGGGACAUUCCUGCGUCGCGCGCCAGCGAAUUGAGGGUCCACGGCUUGGCGGGCUCCUUGUGCAUGAGCGCCAGCGCCGCGCCGAUCUGCCGGUCCGCGAUCGCAGCAAGCAUGGCGGGCGGCGACUUCGACUGCUCGAUGUAGGCGCGCACGAUCUGCACGAACAGCACGCCCGCGAGGCGAGUGACCACGGCCUCGGCGCCCGGCUUUGCCGCCAUCGUCUCGUGAAUCAUGAAAUUGAGCGCCGUCUGCAGCCAGGCGAACUCGGAGGUCUCGGUACCGCGCAGGUGAAUAAAAGGCGGUAACGCCGCGACCAGCGGAUGCAGGCUGUCGCGGUCGAACU